This 216-nucleotide ribosomal RNA is filed under the name uncultured bacterium. RNAcentral's name for it is "partial 16S ribosomal RNA". It matches the Rfam family "Bacterial small subunit ribosomal RNA", at positions 524 to 738 of the family's 1533-position model. The record is from RNAcentral.
UACGAAGGGGGGCUAGCGUUGCUCGGGAAUGACUGGGCGUAAAGGGCGCGUAGGCGGAUGGCACAGUCAGAUGUGAAAUUCCCGGGCUUAACCUGGGGGCUGCAUUUGAUACGUGUUGUCUAGAGUGAGGAAGAGGGUUGUGGAAUUCCCAGUGUAGAGGUGAAAUUCGUAGAUAUUGGGAAGAACACCUGGUGGAGGAGGCGACCCUGGCCGUCC